AUGACAGACAACAGCCAUGCCCUGCCCCUUGCUUGGUGGGCCCUGCCCACCGCGGUGCCUGUGUCGUGGGCUCCCCCUGCAUGGUGUCUGGCACAACCCCAUGCUGUGAUCUUCCCUGCAAGUUGCUCGGUACCCCCAGGAGCCCAGGGCCACGAGCUUCUCCCGCACAGCACCCAGGGCCCCCCUCACGGGCUGAGAAGAGUUAAUGCCCUCAACGGGCCAGCUCCUCCCGACUGGUCCCAGCCCCAGCCCAGAGCGCGUUCCUCCAAGACUAUUUCCUGCCUCUGGGCCUUGGCCAGGCCCACAGUGACCACCCCCAUGGGUCUGAGGCCGCAUCUGGUUUGGAUUACACCAGGGCUGGUGACGCUGCCUUUUCCUGUCGGCGUCCAGUGGCCUCAAAUUCCACCGGCCACCUUGGACCCAGCAGGGCAGCUGUGGGAAAAGAUUCAGCCAGCGACAGGGCUGCCCCGAGGGUAUGAAGUGGCCAGGGCCAUCCUGAAGGAUGUGCCCACCUGGACCGAGCUCCCGCUUGUGCAGUUGCCCGCACACCUGUUCCUUCCUUCACUCUCGCCCGUGUUAUUUAUGGAGCACAAAGCCCUGCACCCAGGGACUCCCAUGUGUACAUUCGUUUCAUCCCCACCCCGUGACUGGGUAUUUCAUUACCAGCAGUUCUCAGAUGAGGAAACUGCGGCACAAGGACCUAUGGACAAGGCGUGGGUUCCCAGCCAGUCAGUACUGGGGUGGGAUGGCAAAGCAGGCGGUCUGACUUCAGACACAUCCGAUCCCUAUUUGUUGAGCCCCUUUUCUGGGCCUGGCCCUAAGCCAGAGACUGGAGAUGAAUUAGUCAUGGUCUCGGCCCUCAGAGAGUUCACAGCCUCUGGGACCCCGGCGGUGGGAGGCUGGGGCUCAUGGUGGAGCUGGAAGGGCAUGGCAGAAGCCACUAGGUCCUGGUCUCUCUCUCCAGGGGGAGUGACUUCCAUGCUUAGAGCAAAUGAGGAGGAGGCCUCUUCCAGAAAGAGAGAAGGGGGUGUUCCAGGCUGCUCCAGGGAGCUGAGAACAAGCUUGUCAUCCCAGUGGGGCUUUUGCAUAUGA
This 1092-nucleotide long non-coding RNA is filed under the name Sus scrofa (pig). RNAcentral's name for it is "lncRNA (ENSSSCG00070003948.1)". Lineage: Eukaryota; Metazoa; Chordata; Mammalia; Artiodactyla; Suidae. The record is from RNAcentral.